RNAcentral lists this ribosomal RNA (570 nucleotides) under Craugastor pygmaeus (pygmy free-fingered frog). Its description in RNAcentral is "partial large subunit ribosomal RNA". It matches the Rfam family "Bacterial large subunit ribosomal RNA", at positions 1811 to 2605 of the family's 2925-position model. Lineage: Eukaryota; Metazoa; Chordata; Amphibia; Anura; Craugastoridae. The record is from RNAcentral.
AAACAUCGCCUCUUGUAACUAUAAGAGGUCCAGCCUGCCCAGUGACUUAUGUUAAACGGCCGCGGUAUACUAACCGUGCAAAGGUAGCGCAAUCACUUGUCCCCUAAAUAGGGACUUGUAUGAAUGGCAUCACGAGGAUUUAACUGUCUCCUUUUUCCAAUCAGUGAAACUAAUCUUCCUGUGAAAAAGCAGGAAUAAUCAUAUAAGACGAGAAGACCCUAUGAAGCUUUAAACAUAUAACAAAUGCCCCCCAACACUUUUCCUGAAACUCAACCAACAGCACAUUGAUUAUAAGUUUUUGGUUGGGGUGACCACGGAGAAAAAUUAAACCUCCGCACUGCCUAAUCUAAAUUUAAAACUAAAAGUUACAACUUUAAUACUCAACAAAUUGACACAAUUGAUCCAAAUAUUUGAUCAAUGAACUAAGUUACUCUAGGGAUAACAGCGCAAUCCACUUCAAGAGCACAUAUCGACAAGUGGGCUUACGACCUCGAUGUUGGAUCAGGGUAUCCUAGUGGUGCAGCCGCUACUAAAGGUUCGUUUGUUCAACGAUUAAAACCCUACGUGAUC